AUGAAGACUAGAACAAAAGAUUUAACAUUUUAACUUAUUUAUUUAAUAUAAAUAUUAAACUUUUCCUAAAUGUAAAAAGACAUUUAUUAUUUAGAAAGACGACAAGACCCUAUUGAACUUAACUUAAGUUUAACUGGGGCAGUUAAUUAAUCAAAAUUUAAUAUUAAAAUAUUAAUAGAAUAAUCUAUUACAAUUAAUUUACCAAGUUACCAUAGGGAUAACAGCGCAAUUAUAUUUUUAGAGUUCUUAUCUAAAAAAUAGAUUACGACCUCGAUGUUGAAUUAAUAACCUAAAUUAAGCAAACUUAAAGAAAGGAAGUCUGUUCGACUUUUAAAAAAUUACAUGAUUUGAGUUCAGACCGGUAUAAGCCAGGUCGGUUUCUAUCUUCUAUUAAAAUAUUUUACAGUACGAAAGGACCUAUAAUAAUAUAUUAUAUUAUAUUGGCAGAAUAUUGCAUUAGAAUUAGAAUCUAAUCAAACU
Molecule: ribosomal RNA, 480 nt
Filed under: Cobanus cf. extensus
Lineage: Eukaryota; Metazoa; Arthropoda; Arachnida; Araneae; Salticidae
Description: partial 16S ribosomal RNA
Rfam family: Bacterial large subunit ribosomal RNA (bases 92-390)
Source: RNAcentral